This 1433-nucleotide ribosomal RNA is filed under the name Lutjanus russellii (Russell's snapper). Its description in RNAcentral is "eukaryotic LSU rRNA". The stretch from base 771 to 924 matches the Rfam family "5.8S ribosomal RNA". The record is from RNAcentral. Lineage: Eukaryota; Metazoa; Chordata; Actinopteri; Lutjaniformes; Lutjanidae.
AAAAAGCUUCCGUGGGUGAACCUGCGGAAGGAUCAUUACCGCUUGCCCGAUUGACUGUACCGUAUACCUAACCUCCGGGUACGACUCCGCAGCAGUGUACAGUAAGUACCAGGACGCAAGGCCAACUGAGAGAUGCGUUCCUAGCUUAGGGUAUGCUCCCAGAUGACUACGGGCGACUAUGCAGAUAUUAACAUUACCUGGAUUUUCCAUAGGAGGGGCACGCUAAGAGCGAGGAGGCUGGUAGCGUCCCUCACCAUAUCGCAGUGAGUUUCAGGAGCGGCUUGGCUACGAGCCAUGAGUCCCUAGCGAGUAGCUGAUAUCGGAAAUAGCCAUCACGGAUCGUCACGUACCUGCAUGCGCCCGUACGAUCGGAAUGAUACCGCUCCUCACCGGCAUCUCAAACACCGUUCCUGAGCGGCGCACGAUACCUGGACUGGUACGCGACGUGGUCAGAGAUACUCACCGCAUGCGCUCAUGCAAGCGGGGAAUGGAGAGCUCGUAGGAAGCCAGCUCCCGUGACCGCUCACCCCACCCGGGCCCGAAACCUCAGAACCUCUACCUCAAGCGCGGUGUGGCGGCUUCACCCCGGUCGCCCUCUGUCCGCCUCCGGGUACCCAACUCUCCUCUCCCCUCCGGGGUUAGGAGGGGGGUCCAAUGUCUCCUCCCCCGGUCUGUCCCCCACGCCCUGACAGGGGCUUAGCGGGAUGGAGCAUUACCCGUCAAACCAUGUCAAACCCCCCCUCAAAAGAGGUAAACCCAAACAACUUGACAACUCCUAGCGGUGGAUCACUCGGCUCGUGCAUCGAUGAAGAACGCAGCAAGCUGCGAGAAGUUAUGUGAAUUGCAGGACACAUUGAUCAUCGACACUUCGAACGCACCUUGCGGCCCCGGGUUGCUCCCGGGGCUACGCCUGUCUGAGGGUCGCUUUGACAUCAAUCGGAAAGGCAGCUCUCCCUCGCGCCUUCCCGCGGCUGAGGCCGUCGCAGGCAUCCGUUGCCUUCGUCCCCCUAAGCGCUGACGGCUGGGGAGACGCUCGGCCCCCUAGGUUGCGGUGGCGGUGAGGAUUGUCCGGCCCCCCGCCCGUCCGUCUUACCAGUUGGGCUCCAGUUCUCCAGUUCUUCACUGCAUCCGUCUGGGUAACCAAAAUCACUCGGGGGAAGGGGCGCCCCGUCGGGCCCCGCAUGAGUCGGGCGCGGCUGCCGGUGGACAGACCCUGUCUCUCCGCGCUGCCCGCGUUACGCGUGCGACCCGGUUCCGACGGGAACGCUGCGGCUGGGAGUCCGAGGUUCGGGGGUCGCCCUCGGUGUUUGGGCGGUCGCGGCGCAGGGGAAACCCAUCGGUUCGACGUGGCGAACUCCUCCGCCGGAGGCGUUACGGCCCCCCCAGGCCAUCCCGGAGCGCGUGAGCCCCCCCUUCCACUCGUGGGACGGGGG